UUAAGCGACUAAGCGUACACGGUGGAUGCCCUGGCAGUCAGAGGCGAUGAAGGGCGUGCUAAUCUGCGAUAAGCGCCGGUAAGGUGAUAUGAACCGUUAUAACCGGCGAUACCCGAAUGGGGAAACCCAGUGUGAUUCGUCACACUAUCAUUAACUGAAUCCAUAGGUUAAUGAGGCGAACCGGGGGAACUGAAACAUCUAAGUACCCCGAGGAAAAGAAAUCAACCGAGAUUCCCCCAGUAGCGGCGAGCGAACGGGGAGGAGCCCAGAGCCUGAAUCAGCAUGUGUGUUAGUGGAAGCGUCUGGAAAGGCGCGCGAUACAGGGUGACAGCCCCGUACACAAAAGCGCAUGUGCUGUGAGCUCGAUGAGUAGGGCGGGACACGUGGUAUCCUGUCUGAAUAUGGGGGGACCAUCCUCCAAGGCUAAAUACUCCUGACUGACCGAUAGUGAACCAGUACCGUGAGGGAAAGGCGAAAAGAACCCCGGCGAGGGGAGUGAAAAAGAACCUGAAACCGUGUACGUACAAGCAGUGGGAGCCCCACCACUAAGCCAGUGGUGAACUCCACAUACGCAUCCUUUGCUGAGGAUACGGUUAACGGAGCGAAAGCGACGUUCAACCUCAAAAGAAGCAGAGGGGGCUUAGUGGUGGGGUGACUGCGUACCUUUUGUAUAAUGGGUCAGCGACUUAUAUUCUGUAGCAAGGUUAACCGAAUAGGGGAGCCGGAGGGAAACCGAGUCUUAAUUGGGCGUUAAGUUGCAGGGUAUAGACCCGAAACCCGGUGAUCUAGCCAUGGGCAGGUUGAAGGUUGGGUAACACUAACUGGAGGACCGAACCGACUAAUGUUGAAAAAUUAGCGGAUGACCUGUGGCUGGGGGUGAAAGGCCAAUCAAACCGGGAGAUAGCUGGUUCUCCCCGAAAGCUAUUUAGGUAGCGCCUCGUGAAUUCAUCUCCGGGGGUAGAGCACUGUUUCGGCUAGGGGGCCAUCCCGGCUUACCAACCCGAUGCAAACUGCGAAUACCGGAGAAUGUUAUCACGGGAGACACACGGCGGGUGCUAACGUCCGUCGUGAAGAGGGAAACAACCCAGACCGCCAGCUAAGGUCCCAAAGUCAUGGUUAAGUGGGAAACGAUGUGGGAAGGCCCAGACAGCCAGGAUGUUGGCUUAGAAGCAGCCAUCAUUUAAAGAAAGCGUAAUAGCUCACUGGUCGAGUCGGCCUGCGCGGAAGAUGUAACGGGGCUAAACCAUGCACCGAAGCUGCGGCAGCGACACUAUGUGUUGUUGGGUAGGGGAGCGUUCUGUAAGCCUGUGAAGGUGUGUCGUGAGGCAUGCUGGAGGUAUCAGAAGUGCGAAUGCUGACAUAAGUAACGAUAAAGCGGGUGAAAAGCCCGCUCGCCGGAAGACCAAGGGUUCCUGUCCAACGUUAAUCGGGGCAGGGUGAGUCGACCCCUAAGGCGAGGCCGAAAGGCGUAGUCGAUGGGAAACGGGUUAAUAUUCCCGUACUUGGUGUUACUGCGAAGGGGGGACGGAGAAGGCUAUGUUGGCCGGGCGACGGUUGUCCCGGUUUAAGCGUGUAGGUGUGUGUUCCAGGUAAAUCCGGUUCACUUUAACACUGAGGCGUGACGACGAGGCACUACGGUGCUGAAGCAACAAAUGCCCUGCUUCCAGGAAAAGCCUCUAAGCAUCAGGUAACAUCAAAUCGUACCCCAAACCGACACAGGUGGUCAGGUAGAGAAUACCAAGGCGCUUGAGAGAACUCGGGUGAAGGAACUAGGCAAAAUGGUGCCGUAACUUCGGGAGAAGGCACGCUGACACGUAGGUGAAGUGAUUUACUCAUGGAGCUGAAGUCAGUCGAAGAUACCAGCUGGCUGCAACUGUUUAUUAAAAACACAGCACUGUGCAAACACGAAAGUGGACGUAUACGGUGUGACGCCUGCCCGGUGCCGGAAGGUUAAUUGAUGGGGUCAGCGCAAGCGAAGCUCCUGAUCGAAGCCCCGGUAAACGGCGGCCGUAACUAUAACGGUCCUAAGGUAGCGAAAUUCCUUGUCGGGUAAGUUCCGACCUGCACGAAUGGCGUAAUGAUGGCCAGGCUGUCUCCACCCGAGACUCAGUGAAAUUGAACUCGCUGUGAAGAUGCAGUGUACCCGCGGCAAGACGGAAAGACCCCGUGAACCUUUACUAUAGCUUGACACUGAACAUUGAGCCUUGAUGUGUAGGAUAGGUGGGAGGCUUUGAAGUGUGGACGCCAGUCUGCAUGGAGCCGACCUUGAAAUACCACCCUUUAAUGUUUGAUGUUCUAACGUGGACCCGUUACCCGGGUUGCGGACAGUGUCUGGUGGGUAGUUUGACUGGGGCGGUCUCCUCCUAAAGAGUAACGGAGGAGCACGAAGGUUGGCUAAUCCUGGUCGGACAUCAGGAGGUUAGUGCAAUGGCAUAAGCCAGCUUGACUGCGAGCGUGACGGCGCGAGCAGGUGCGAAAGCAGGUCAUAGUGAUCCGGUGGKUCUGAAUGGAAGGGCCAUCGCUCAACGGAUAAAAGGUACUCCGGGGAUAACAGGCUGAUACCGCCCAAGAGUUCAUAUCGACGGCGGUGUUUGGCACCUCGAUGUCGGCUCAUCACAUCCUGGGGCUGAAGUAGGUCCCAAGGGUAUGGCUGUUCGCCAUUUAAAGUGGUACGCGAGCUGGGUUUAGAACGUCGUGAGACAGUUCGGUCCCUAUCUGCCGUGGGCGAUGGAGAACUGAGGGGGGCUGCUCCUAGUACGAGAGGACCGGAGUGGACGCAUCACUGGUGUUCGGGUUGUCAUGCCAAUGGCACUGCCCGGUAGCUAAAUGCGGAAGAGAUAAGUGCUGAAAGCAUCUAAGCACGAAACUUGCCCCGAGAUGAGUUCUCCCUGAGACUUUAGGUCUCCUGAAGGAACGUUGAAGACGACGACGUUGAUAGGCCGGGUGUGUAAGCGCAGCGAUGCGUUGAGCUAACCGGUACUAAUGAACCGUGAGGCUUAACCUU
RNAcentral lists this ribosomal RNA (3004 nucleotides) under Salmonella enterica subsp. enterica serovar Manhattan. Its description in RNAcentral is "bacterial LSU rRNA". It matches the Rfam family "Bacterial large subunit ribosomal RNA". Lineage: Bacteria; Pseudomonadati; Pseudomonadota; Gammaproteobacteria; Enterobacterales; Enterobacteriaceae. The record is from RNAcentral.